This 119-nucleotide ribosomal RNA is filed under the name Pteropus alecto (black flying fox). Lineage: Eukaryota; Metazoa; Chordata; Mammalia; Chiroptera; Pteropodidae. The record is from RNAcentral.
GUCUUUGGCCAUGCCACCCUGAAAAAGCCCAGUCUUGUCUGAUCUCGGAAGCUAAGCAGGGUCGGGCCUGGUUAGUACUUGGAUGGGAGACCACGUAGGAAGACCAGGUGCUGUAAGUG